This is a small nucleolar RNA of Cavia aperea (Brazilian guinea pig), 133 nucleotides long. The record is from Ensembl. Lineage: Eukaryota; Metazoa; Chordata; Mammalia; Rodentia; Caviidae.
AUACAUAACAUAAUAAACCCAAAUUAACAUUGGGGGUAGAAAUGCAUCUGUAACAUGCUACAUGAAUAAAGGAAUUCUCAGGGCUGCCAACCUUUCAGUAGAGGUUGAAUGGUAGUAUAUUUCUCCUACUANN